Molecule: ribosomal RNA, 247 nt
Filed under: Atoxoplasma sp. MS-2003
Lineage: Eukaryota; Apicomplexa; Conoidasida; Eucoccidiorida; Eimeriidae
Description: partial small subunit ribosomal RNA
Rfam family: Eukaryotic small subunit ribosomal RNA
Source: RNAcentral
AAACUGCGAAUGGCUCAUUAAAACAGUUAUAGUUUAUUUGAUGGUCUCUCUUACAUGGAUAACCAUGGUAAUUCUAUGGCUAAUACAUGCGCAAUCGCCUCCUUCUCUGGAGGGGCUGUGUUUAUUAGAUACAAAACCAACCCACUUUGUGGAGUCCUGGUGAUUCAUAGUAACCGAACGGAUCGCAGUUGGCUUCGGCCCGCGAUGGAUCAUUCAAGUUUCUGACCUAUCAGCUUUCGACGGUAGG